AUUGAACGCUGGCGGCAGGCCUAACACAUGCAAGUCGAGCGGAGCGGCGGACGGGUGAGUAAUGCCUAGGAAUCUGCCUGGUAGUGGGGGAUAACGUCAGGAAACGGGCGCUAAUCCCGCAUACUAUCUGCUUAGCCUAGGGCGGGUAUGCUGGUUGGGGGGGAAAAGGCCUACCAAGGCGACGAUCCGUAACUGGUCUGAGAGGAUGAUCAGUCAAACUGGAGCUGAGACACGGUCUAGACGCCUACGGGCGGCAGCAGGGGGGAAUAGUGAACGUUGGGCGCAAGCCUGAUGCAGCCAUGCCGCGUGGGUGAAGAAGGCCUUCGGGUUGUAAAGCACUUUCAGCGGGGAGGCGUUACCCGCAGAAGAAGCACCGGCUAACUCCGUGCCAGCAGCCGCGGUAUU
Molecule: ribosomal RNA, 405 nt
Filed under: uncultured bacterium
Lineage: Bacteria
Description: partial 16S ribosomal RNA
Rfam family: Bacterial small subunit ribosomal RNA
Source: RNAcentral